GUAACGCAAGCUUUACCCGUGUUCAUCCAACUGGAAGGAAAGGUCCGAGGAAGCGUGACAUUUGCACGAGAUAAUGACAAGUAAAUCGCACGAUUUUUGGAAUCGAAUUAAAAGCGUCGAACACGAACGUUCUUCCAGAAUCUUCGUCUGACGUUGCUUGGAGCAAAGCUGGGUUAAUUCGGUUGCUGGAAUCAUCCUGUUUGAUCAGGCGCUUCGCGAAUGGCGCCAGUGCUCUGUAUAUUCGCCCAUACGAUGAUUAUUAUACGAUCCAACGCAGAAUUCUUUGCUUACAUCUCGUCGACCAUCAUAUGCAUUUACACAUGAUACGAUAUUAAUUAUUUUCAACCGAAAAGUCAUAAUUCUGCGUAAGAAU
RNAcentral lists this unclassified non-coding RNA (373 nucleotides) under Bombus terrestris (buff-tailed bumblebee). RNAcentral's name for it is "misc RNA ENSBTSG00005039160.1". The record is from RNAcentral. Lineage: Eukaryota; Metazoa; Arthropoda; Insecta; Hymenoptera; Apidae.